This 471-nucleotide small RNA is filed under the name Marinomonas spartinae. RNAcentral describes it as "cspA thermoregulator". It matches the Rfam family "cspA thermoregulator". The record is from Rfam by way of RNAcentral. Lineage: Bacteria; Pseudomonadati; Pseudomonadota; Gammaproteobacteria; Oceanospirillales; Oceanospirillaceae.
AUUGACCUGAUCGCUGUUACAGGUCUACAAUCAAAUUCGUUUAAAAGAGUUGGCAAUAUUUAUGUCCAGAGUUGCGAAUAUUACGUCAUGUAUGUUCGAUCCUGUUAAGUCAUAAGUAAUACCGAGUUUUUUUAGCACAAUAGAGCUAACACAGUCGUUAGCGGAUAAAUUAACUUACCUACAGGAUAAAAAGACAUGUCUGACGUAGUAACUGGUACAGUAAAGUUCUUCAACGAAACUAAAGGUUUCGGUUUCAUCACUCAGGAUUCAGGUCCAGAUGUAUUUGUUCACUUCUCUGCGAUCAACACUUCUGGCUUCAAAACUUUGGCUGAAGGCCAAAAAGUUGAAUUCCAAGUAGCUCAAGGCAAAAAAGGCCCUGAAGCACAAAACGUUACUCCUUUAUAAGGAAGCGUUGCUGAGGUUUUCUCAGUAAAAAAGUCAAAAAAGCGACCUUGUGUCGCUUUUUUUGUU